GAAUGUGAGGGCAAUCUGACUGUAACAUCUGUCACCUCAGUGAUCUUCAGGGUUGAUUAGGUUGAUGUGGCCAGCUAGGCCGGCAUCUCCUUUCUCCAGCACUGCUCUGUACACACCCCUUCCCAAGCUUCACACCAAAGAGGAGAACUGUUGUUGGGUAUACACACAUCUGCGCUCUCCAUAGAAUCUCCAAGCAAGUUCUUAAAGAACAGGAGACGAUAGGAUUUUCCAAGCCCCGUUUAUGCUCUGUGUUGGAGCUCCCUGGC
This 266-nucleotide small nuclear RNA is filed under the name Octodon degus (degu). RNAcentral's name for it is "7SK RNA (ENSODEG00000022739.1)". It matches the Rfam family "7SK RNA". From Rfam's summary of the family: 7SK was discovered as an abundant small nuclear RNA in the mid-70s but a possible function has only recently been suggested. Two independent studies have found that 7SK RNA binds the CDK9/cyclin T complex (known as elongation factor P-TEFb). Lineage: Eukaryota; Metazoa; Chordata; Mammalia; Rodentia; Octodontidae. The record is from RNAcentral.